CCCAAAAAUUGUCUGACAACCCUAAAGCCUCUAAAGUUUACAUUACCCAUAAGCACUCUGUUACAUUGCGCCAGAUGUACUGUAUUUCAAUGGGGAUGUCCACAACAGAUUGGAAACGCAACGCCCCCUUGCUGUUGAAGGCUCCGUUGUUAGACAGACGCAGCAUACUUAGAAUUUUUUUAAACUUUGCAUUGUCUUCAGAGGAAGAUGAAAAUAUGUGGUUUUCGGUGGUGGGUUUAUGAGAUAGCUAGCAACUUAUAAACAAUAACCCAUUCCUAUAAGCUCAGUCACGGUUUCUGCCAACAACAAACUGAACAAGUGUCUGGAUGUAGUUGCCACCGUAACUGCUCUUACUGGCAUUAUUCUCCAUUCUUUAGAUAGUGCUGGGAUCAUGUUGAACUACAACUGGGACUAUCCAUACUACUAUGUCGUGUCAACAGUAUUGGACUGAACUAUCCAAAGGGUCCAGAGGGAGCAGGUAUGGGUACUGGGGUUCAACAGAACCACCUGCCCCCGCAAUACACUGCAGUCAUCCCCUGAAAAACAGACCUCCGUAAAUAAAACACUAUUUUUCUUGUUGAAAUUAUUUUAUUAUCUAUGUUUCCGUUGAAAGCCGGGGCAACUGGCUAGCACAUCACUGUGACCACACAAUUAUAUUGAUAGUGUCUAGUAUUGUUCACAGCUUCUCUAAUUAUGUUAACUAGAAAUAUGGUUAAUAAUAUCAUUGCAUUAUUUUUAAAUGUAUUUGUAAUUGAUUUAUAUUUGUUCUAUAACUGUCAGAAUUGUGUGAAAAAUUACAUUUAUCAAAGAAAAGGAACCACAGUUUAGUCAUGUUAGUUUUGUCAAUGAUUGUUAUAAGACAAAAGUUGAUUUGGCAUCACUUUUUAGAAUUGAAUAUUAAAACACAGCCCAAAUGAAUGUGUCUGAAUGUCCUGAAAAGGAUCAUUACUUCAAUGUCCACACAAUAACAUUUCCAGGGGAAAUACUCAGGUGUUCUGGAGUCACUGAAGGGGCUGAAAACAUUGUUAUAAGGAGAGAUCUUUGAUGCAAUUUCUCUUUAGGUUGAGAGGUGGAUACAGCAGCCUGUCCUGGAGAGUAUUAGGACAUCAUUUUUCUUUUACAUUUCUUUUUAAGGUUUGUAUAAUUCUUGUUUACAGACAAGUGAUGUAGAUCAUGUCGACCAUAAUGACCGGAUGUGACUAGAAGGAGUAUAGCUAUGACCCGUAGUGACUUUUAAUAGCAGGUUAGGAGAGCAAAAACCCUAACCCUUUUCCUAGCCUUAACUUAAUUCUCCUAACCUGCCACAAUAAUUUUCCUAACCUACGAAAGUCUCUUCUGGUCGUAGCUGUACUCCUUUUAGUCAGAACCUGACACACAGGCAAGGGGAGGUGUGUCUGUGUCACACACGACCACAGCACAAAAAACACUUGAUUCCAUUUAUUUAUUCAAAUAUCUAUGAGUGUAUUCUUUCAGAUGUUUUAUGUUUCCAUUACAUAAAGGUCCACAUAGACCAUAUCAUCAUUUGACCACAUCAAAUACUUGAAAACAUCGCUUAAACUUUAUUGACAGAAUAUGAUGCAAGCCAUUGGAGUC
This is a long non-coding RNA of Salvelinus sp. IW2-2015, 1593 nucleotides long. RefSeq lists it as uncharacterized. Lineage: Eukaryota; Metazoa; Chordata; Actinopteri; Salmoniformes; Salmonidae. The record is from RefSeq and is a predicted model, not a curated record.